This 71-nucleotide transfer RNA is filed under the name Heterocephalus glaber (naked mole-rat). It matches the Rfam family "tRNA". Rfam says of the family: Transfer RNA (tRNA) molecules are approximately 80 nucleotides in length. Their secondary structure includes four short double-helical elements and three loops (D, anti-codon, and T loops). Further hydrogen bonds mediate the characteristic L-shaped molecular structure. tRNAs have two regions of fundamental functional importance: the anti-codon, which is responsible for specific mRNA codon recognition, and the 3' end, to which the tRNAs corresponding amino acid is attached (by aminoacyl-tRNA synthetases). tRNAs cope with the degeneracy of the genetic code in two manners: having more than one tRNA (with a specific anti-codon) for a particular amino acid; and 'wobble' base-pairing, i.e. permitting non-standard base-pairing at the 3rd anti-codon position. The record is from Rfam by way of RNAcentral. Lineage: Eukaryota; Metazoa; Chordata; Mammalia; Rodentia; Bathyergidae.
UGGGAUGUGGCUCAGUGGAGAGAGCUUGCCUAGUAUGCAGCAGGCUCUGGGUUCGAAUCCCAGCACUGCAG